CACGUAGAGCGCAAGCGUUGUCCGGAAUUAUUGGGCGUAAAGAGCUCGUAGGCGGUCGUUCAAGUCGCGUGUGAAAGCCCCCGGCUCAACUGGGGAGGGUCACGCGAUACUGAUCGACUGGAAGGCAGGAGAGGGUAGUGGAAUUCCCGGUGUAGUGGUGAAAUGCGUAGAUAUCGGGAGGAACACCAGUGGCGAAGGCGACUACCUGGCCUGUUCUUGACGCUGAGGCGCGAAAGCUAGGGGAGCAAACGGG
Molecule: ribosomal RNA, 253 nt
Filed under: uncultured bacterium
Lineage: Bacteria
Description: partial 16S ribosomal RNA
Rfam family: Bacterial small subunit ribosomal RNA
Source: RNAcentral